CAGUCGCCGCGGUAAUACGUAGGGGGCAAGCGUUAUCCGGAAUAACUGGGCGUAAAGGGUGCGCAGGUGGUUUAACAAGUUAGUGGUGAAAGGCAUAGGCUCAACCAAUGUAAGCCAUUAAAACUGUUUAACUUGAGUGCAGGAGAGGAAAGUGGAAUUCCUAGUGUAGCGGUGAAAUGCGUAGAUAUUAGGAGGAAUACCAGUGGCGAAGGCGACUUUCUGGACUGCAACUGACACUGAGGCACGAAAGCGUGGGGAGCAAACAGGAUUAGAUACCCCGGUAGUCCCUGUCUCUUAUACA
This 301-nucleotide ribosomal RNA is filed under the name uncultured bacterium. RNAcentral's name for it is "partial 16S ribosomal RNA". It matches the Rfam family "Bacterial small subunit ribosomal RNA", at positions 509 to 808 of the family's 1533-position model. The record is from RNAcentral.